GGACUGCCAUCGUAAGAUGUGAGGAAGGUGGGGAUGACGUCAAAUCAGCACGGCCCUUACGUCCGGGGCUACACACGUGUUACAAUGGGCGGUACAGAAGGCAGCUACCUGGCGACAGGAUGCCAAUCCCGAAAGCCGCUCUCAGUUCGGACUGGAGUCUGCAACCCGACUCCACGAAGCUGGAUUCGCUAGUAAUCGCGGUCGACGCGGCCGAGUCGUGGAGGCGAAGGCACGCAAGGGAUAGGG
This 246-nucleotide ribosomal RNA is filed under the name uncultured bacterium. RNAcentral describes it as "partial 16S ribosomal RNA". The stretch from base 1 to 219 matches the Rfam family "Bacterial small subunit ribosomal RNA", at positions 1146 to 1371 of the family's 1533-position model. The record is from RNAcentral.